This 675-nucleotide ribosomal RNA is filed under the name uncultured organism. Its description in RNAcentral is "bacterial SSU rRNA". It matches the Rfam family "Bacterial small subunit ribosomal RNA", at positions 89 to 763 of the family's 1533-position model. The record is from RNAcentral.
ACACGAGUGGCGCACGGGUGAGUAACGCGUACGCGANCUGCCCUCAAGAGGGAAUAGCCCUGGGAAACUGGGAUUAAUGUCCCAUGUGAUUGUAUUUCUAAGGGAUAUAAUUAAAGGAGCGAUCCGCUUGAGGAUGGGCGUGCGUGCUAUAAGCUAGUUGGUGAGGUAAUGGCUCACCAAGGCGACGAUAGCUAGGGGGCGUGAGAGCGUGACCCCCCACACGGUUACUGAGACACGGACCCGACUCCUACGGGAGGCAGCAGUAAGGAAUAUUGGACAUUGGGGGCAACCCUGAUCCAGCCAUCCCGCGUGCAGGAAGACGGCCCUAUGGGUUGUAAACUGCUUUUAUUAGGGAAGAAUAGCAUCAAUGAAUUGGUGUAUGACGGUACCUAAAGAAUAAAGCACCGGCUAACUCCGUGCCAGCAGCCGCGGUAAUACGGAGGGUGCAAGCGUUAUCCGGAAUCACUGGGUUUAAAGGGUGCGUAGGUGGAAUAAUAAGUCAGGCGUGAAAGGUUACAGCUUAACUGUAGACUUGCGUUUGAUACUGUUAUUCUUGAAUUACGAUGAGGUUGGCAGAAUGCGACAUGUAGCGGUGAAAUGCCUAGAUAUGUCGUAGAAUACCGAUUGCGAAGGCAGUCAACCGGACUUAAAUUGACACUGAGGCACGAAAGCGUG